UACGUAGGUGGCGAACGUUAUCCGGAAUUAUUGGGCGUAAAGGAUGCGUAGAUGGUGUAGUAAGUUAUCGGUGGCAAAUCGAGGCUCAACCUCGUGGAAGUCGGUAAUACUGCUAUGCUAGAGGAUAGGAGAGGUUAACGGAACUCCCUGUGGAGCGGUGAAAUGCGUAGAUAUAGGGAAGAACACCAAUAAGGCGAAGGCAGUUAACUAUUCUAUUCCUGACAUUGAGGCAUGAAAGCGUGGGGAGCAAAACGG
This 255-nucleotide ribosomal RNA is filed under the name uncultured bacterium. RNAcentral's name for it is "partial 16S ribosomal RNA". It matches the Rfam family "Bacterial small subunit ribosomal RNA", at positions 524 to 776 of the family's 1533-position model. The record is from RNAcentral.